Molecule: long non-coding RNA, 435 nt
Organism: Plodia interpunctella (Indianmeal moth)
Lineage: Eukaryota; Metazoa; Arthropoda; Insecta; Lepidoptera; Pyralidae
Exons: 3
Source: RefSeq, a predicted model, not a curated record
UGCACCGAUCAGUUUCACCAUUCAGAUCAAGUGCACCGGUCAGUGUUUGAACUGCAGUUGUUAAGAUAAAAUGUUUUUCUCAUUUCAAUUAAUUGUUUUCCUCGCACUCAGUGCGUCUUUGGUCGCUUCAGACAACUACUGCACCACCUUUAAAUAUCCUCAAAAUGGCCCUAUUUAUGGCAGGCAUGUUCAGAUUAAACCAAUCGUGCUUCGUCCCAAUGUUCAAAGAUAUACACUAGAAUUACAGAACAAUUGCCCUAAAACUAUAGCAUUGGUGUUGAGAGUAUGCGACUAUGACGUGGCUCCGUCUGUCUACCCUGUUUCGUUUUAUGAAGUGCACGUGCAAAGAAAUGGCCAGUACAGAGACGUGGGCAUGGCUUUCGCUGAAUUCUAUUGUGAUUACGUCUCGUAAUAAAAUCAUUUGCGAAAAACAGA